ACAAAAUAUGAUGUAUACAUAUAGAAAUAAAUAUGCUAUUGACAAAUAUUGGUCCAAUAUCAAUCAACCUAUGAAUAUGAUCCAAUUAAAUUAUUAUUUUGGACAAAAAGGCACCUUAGCUAGGAAGGAGGAGGAGGACAAGCUAGGGCUCAAGCACCCCAAGUGGCCUCCUUGUGCACGUCCCUAUGACAAAAGCAGCUCAGAGAAGAAAAAUAUAAUAGUUUUAUUUCUCAGUGACAUGCAUGAUAAAUUCAAGUCUGCUCUUCUUUUGGGCACUGCAAGAAUGGCCAUACAGAAUCUGUAACAUCUUUAUAUUGUGUUUAGCCUUGUAAAAUAUUAUUUUUAAUUUUUUUUCCCUCAAAGGGCUAAGGUGUAAAUAAUGUACUGGCUUGGCAGUCUUUUGAAUUUACGGUACAGUAGGGGGACAUCAUGCAGCCUAAUUUUUAAUAACAUAUGCCUGGCCUUGGUUAAACAAAUGCUUUUCUUUCAGGCGAGACAAACACUGAUAUCGGCCGUGCCCUUGGUUUGAGCAGGACUCCUGUUCAAACAAUAGUUAAGGGAAAAGAGCGGAUCUUAGACCAUGUGAAAGACGGCGAGUCAGUGAUGGCUGUUACACUAAAAAGUGUAUCUAGAUUAGGGAAGCAACACAACACCAAUAUUGUGGAGAUGGAGAAGUUAUUGACGGUCUGGCUCGAAGAUCAAAACCAGCGAAAUGUUCCUGUGAGCUAUGGUUUAAUUCAGGAGAAGGCAAUGGAGUUGCAUAGGGCAGUAGGGCAGUAGGGCUGAAGAGAGAGGAAAGUAGUGGAACUGAAGUAUUUACAGCCAGCAAAGGCUGGAUUCAUCGCUUUAAGUCUCGUGCAAAUUUGCACAACCUUAAGCUGCAGGGUGAGGCUGCUAGUGCAGACCAGGAUGCAGCAUUUCCUGCAUGUUUGGCAGAGGUUUUACUGCCGAUUAAGUCUUUAAUGUCGAUGAAAAAGGCUUAUUUUGGAAGCGCAUGCCUCGCCAUACAUACAUUUCUAAGGAGGAGAAGAUAGCACCAGGCCAUAAUGUCAGUAAGGAGAGACUGACUUUACUUCUUGGUAGUAAUGCUAGCGGUGACUUAAAGCUUAAGCCCUUGUUAGUCUACUUGGCUGAAAAUCCGAGGCCACUGAAGGGAAUUUUCAAGCCUCAACUCCCCGUCAUUUGGAAGGCUAACAAGAAAGCCUGGGUCACUGUUAACAAGAAAGCCUGGGUCACUGUUGCUAUCUUUGAGGAGUGGUUCAAUGAUCACUUUCUGCUGGUAGUUGAGUUGUAUUUGAAGAAAAAGGGUCUGCCAUUUAAGGUCUUGCUAGUGUUAGACAAUGCCCUUGGUCACCCUGGUCAUUUGGGUGAGAUUUAUCCCAAUGUGCAGGUAGUCUACCUUCCUCCAAACACCACAUUACUUUUACAACCAAUGGACGAGGGAGUCAUUGCUAGCUUUAAGGCAUACUACACCAUGAGAGCGUUUCGCAAUGUCCUCAAGGCCAUCGAAAAUACAACUAACAAGUGGAAUGUCAAGGAAGUUUGGAAGAAGUACAGUAUAGUGGAUGCUGUGAGGAAUAUUGACUAUGCUUGGAAAGAGGUUAAGCAAACUAAUUUGAAUGGGGCCUGGCAGAAACUUUGUCCAGACUUCGUAAUGAACUUUCCUGGCUUUGAGGAGGAAGAUAGUCUUAAUAGUGAGACCAGGAAAAUUGUUAAUUAUAGCAAGAGGCUCAAUUUGGAGGUCGAAGCUGAUGAUGUGACAGAGCUGCUGCAGAGAACGAGUUGUCAGCAGAGGAUCUCAUUGAGCUGGAGCAGCAGAUGAUCGAGGAGGAGGAGGAGGCACAACCCCCAGUGCCCCGCUUAUUAAGUGCUACAAGUUUGGCACAUGCUGUGGCCCUUAUUGAGCAAGGGCUGGCAAUAAUUGAGGCACAGGACCCUAAUUUGGAAAGAUAUUCCAGCUUUCAGAGAAAGGUUCAAGAUGCUAUGACCUUUUACAAGGAGACUGUAAAAGAGAAGCAGAUGGUAAAAAGCAUCCAAUCCACACUAGAGGUUUAUGGCUUUAAGAAAAGGUCUCCAGUACCACCUCUCACUCUUGAUGGAGAUGUGGUGACCACUCCUGACCCCACUGAAACUGUUGUGCCAGUAGUAUCUCCAGCAGCCUCCCCUGGAUCAAGCUUUGACCUUCAAAAGGAUAAGUCAUCACUAGAUGACCCACCAGCCUCUCCACCUCUAUCUGAAUUGCCUGACCUCCUUCCAUAUGUUGACCCACCAGCCUCUCCAACUCUCCCAUCACAAAAUGAACCAAUAGUACCAGCCUCUCCAACUGUCUGAAUUUGGCAGAACGUUACUAAUGAAUGAAGUAUCUUUCGGUGCUGAAUCCUUCAAAGGCUUUCCAAAGUCACCUGCAGCAUCUCCAUUAUCUUCAGCUUCAUCAGACACGGUGGUGCCAUCGUCAAACCCCAACUCUCCUUAUCAAUGUCCAUUAGACUUCCAACCAGAGGAAGAUUCCGAUUCUUAGCCUCUCUCUCCAUCCACAUACUACGUACUGUAGUACCAAGGGGCAGCUCGUGUACAUAUAGGCUCUGUGGAUCUGCAGCACUCAAAAUUUAUUGAUGUAUAUACAUACUGUACUAUAUACUGUAACAUUUAGUGUACAUAAUUACCUACAUGUAGAUAAUAUUUAAUACAUAUGUUAAGUCAUUCAUAAUGUCAUUCAUCUCAUUUGUGAAAUAAUAAAUACUGUAUGCUUGUAUGAGUAGUAGUAUGUACUUUAUAGUCCUAGUGAUGCAAUGAUUUCUAUUAAGAAAAAUUCUCUCGCUAGUCUUCCAGAGAUAAAGGAGAAAGUUCCGUAUUAACAUUUUCACCCAAAAUAAAACAAGAGGGAUGGAUUCAAUUUUUAAAUGAAAGGAUCAAACUGGACUGGAACAAUAUGGAAUGUAGGUAGUACUACAAGGAUUAGUAUACUUUACAUAACACCCUAAGGAUUAAAGGUAGGCUUUCUUCCCUUUACAGUAUUUAAUUAGCUUAGUUAUUUAAAAUCAGAGGAAACCAUUCCUUUGUACUUUUGGUAAUGGAAUUAGGCCACAAAUUCUCUUAUACGUUAGUUUUUAGGUACAAGCUAAAGGAUUCCUUUUUCUUAACAAACUAACUGAACUAGCCUCGAGUGUUAUGCACAAUUUAGGUGAAUGGUAGCUUUAUAAUAAAGAUAAAAUUACAGUAUUAGUCAGUUAGCCACGCAUGUUUAAGUAUUGGAUGACUCCUGCAGCACUAGUCUAGAAACUAUUUAGUGGUACACAUGCUUGAUAGAUUAGUUACUGGCAGGAUAAAAGUCCCCCAAAGUCAUUAGGAUAUAUUCUUCGAUGGGCCAAAACAGGAGCUAUGCAAAUAAAACUGGAUGAAAUGCUCCAACAAGCUUCAAACAAAAAUUUCAUUCCAACCUUAGCAUUUACACAUGUAACACACAAACAUAAUUAAUGCACAGGUCAGUCUAGUUCUUAAAAAUGCUAGGAUAACUUCACUAACUCUGAAGACACUAGUCUGCACAACCCCAAAUAUUUUCAUACUAAUCGAAGCCUUUCCCUGUUGUUUUAGCAACAUUAUGAGUGACUGAACAAAAAAUAAACCAACACAAACUGCAAUUUAGCAACAUUAUAAUGAAUGAAUAAAAAAUAAACUAACACUCAUUAACCUAAAAAAUUUUUAAAUAUAUAAAAUUUCUAUUUGAAACAACUUUUAUU
RNA transcript from Macrobrachium nipponense, 3737 nucleotides. RefSeq lists it as uncharacterized. NCBI's taxonomy places the organism in Eukaryota, Metazoa, Arthropoda, Malacostraca, Decapoda, Palaemonidae. The transcript is spliced from 7 exons. The record is from RefSeq and is a predicted model, not a curated record.